This 2482-nucleotide long non-coding RNA is filed under the name Lepisosteus oculatus (spotted gar). RNAcentral describes it as "lncRNA (ENSLOCG00000021677.1)". Lineage: Eukaryota; Metazoa; Chordata; Actinopteri; Semionotiformes; Lepisosteidae. The record is from RNAcentral.
CUGGCGCAGCUACUCCGGCCGGCUUGUUAAAUUCCUACUCAGUGCAAACAGCCACCGCACGGAUACCUGAAUGAAAAAUACACUUGACUUAAAAAGAGAAAGCGAAAACAUAUUCAUGUGCAUUAAAGUGUUUUUAUUUUUAAGGUAACCGUCACAACAAGCACUUAAAUUGCGUGGGGUAACAUGCAAAUACUCUUCCCAUGAUGCCUUGUGAACUCACAUCUCACCGUCUUUCAGUCCCCUGCCUGUCUCUCUCUCUCUCUCCAAAUCCUCCACCUGGUUCUUUCCGGCUCUCUCUGACCCCAUCUCCCUCCUUCCACCUGCAGCUCUCUCCCUGCCCCUCUCCCCGUGUCUGAAGUCACGACAGCGCCCUCCUUCUCCUCCAGCGCACCCAGAUCGAGGACCGUCACGCCUCAAACUGCUACGCGAUUCUGAAUGAAUGCUGGCAAGAGCGCAGCCCGGAAAACACCCCCCCCCUCAGAAAAAAGAAACGUGUGGACCUUUAGAAACAGACCGAGCUUUACUUGAACAAAACACAAUGUAGAAGAGCACACAACGGCUUGCACAGAGGGAUGACGGCUGGGCGCUGACCAUGUCUGCGUGCCCCAGCGCCAGCCCGGACCAGCUCUGUCUGAGCCCCCCGGGACGUGAGCGGGGUCGGAGGGGGCUAGUGGGGACCAGCACUUUCCGAGUGCGCCCAGGGCUCCGGUAUGGUCACGCAGCGGGCCCGCGGCACUCUGGCGCCACCCUGUGGGGCACGGGGGCGUGGGANCCAGGAACAACAGGGCCCCACACCUGCAUGACACACGCGCACAGCACCGGGAGUUUCCAACUCGCGUCACGUAAUCAGAAGUCCCAUAUUUACCUGGACAUACCGAUCCUCUCGAUAUCGUCAAGGAAUCUUAAAGGGCACCUUUAGCCAGAAAGGGAAAGAGCUCGUGCAUGCGGUUAUUUUUCAUGUUUGUGGCUCAUUUCCUUCACAAACACAAAAAAGGCAGUGGGGUGCCGCCACUCCUGCGCGCCCACCUCUUACCCCUUGGCCUGAAGAGUUCACGGCAUUACCAGUGUUCGCUUGAAAUGUCGUAUUAUUAAAAAGCUAAAGCGACUUACACCUGCACACAUUUAUACCGCUGGGUGACGUGUUUCAUCUGGGAUUUGAACCCACAGCCUUCCAGUCCCGAGUGCAGAACGCUAAGCAUCCGUAACACCCAGUACCAGUGCACCCAGUACACCCAGUACCUGUGCCAUCCUGUGAUACAGUGCCAAGUGCCAGACUGAGUCCCUGGGUACCCAGACUGCGUGUCAAACAGUGUGUCUCCCGCAACAUGUUACACUGUUAAGAGCAGCACAUCCUAACUUCCCUUAACAGAGACAGGAAACUGCAGCACACAUUUUUUGGUCAUACACACACGCACACACUUUCCUCUAGGAGUCUUUACGUAUUAAUCUCACGACAGGUUCCCUUUACUGUUACAGUCCUGGGCGAUCGGUACUAAACUGGUUACUCGGCAGGGCACAGACUGCCGCGAAACCAGCUGGGGAAGAUUAGCAACAGAACAGCAGCUGCCCCAGCCGCCUGUCAGGGAAGGAGCCCGCCUGGGCCGAGCCCCAGCCCCGCAUGACUGCAUAGGCUGUCCCCGUCCCCCCCGAGCCACGGGGAGGGUGGAACCGUGGUUAUGUACAGGGGACACGCAAGGGGGAACCCUAACUUGUUCACGCAGGAUAUGCUUGAAACAUCCAAAUUGGAAAAAAAUAAUGACAGCGCUAGGUUCGCAAAGCGCUCCCACUGGCCGGCCCAGCUGCAGCAGCCUGCGUGCCAUAAUGAGGACGGCAACCAGCCUGUAGGGGGCGCUGCAAGCCACUGCUGUCUGCGGGAGCUCGGGAGACUCUCUGACAGCGGGAGACGGAGGGACCCGCGAUCUCUCCCAGACCGCAGCAGUAUUAAGACACUAAGGAGAGGGGCACGACGACAUCGCCUUUCCUCACACGGCUGAGGCCCAAUCUUCUCAGCCGGCCGGGGGCUGGAGCUCAGCCCCUGGAAAGGUGAUGCUCCCCCGCCCUCGACAGCACGACAGCACGCACACACACACACAGUCACUCGCACAGGCGUCUGCACACGGUGGGCACGCAGCUAGCCAAGCCCAUGGGAGGAAGGGCUGGAAUGAGUCUGCAGACAUGGGAUUUGGGGGCGUGUCUCCGUAGGGACCUUCACGAUUACAGCACUCGAUGGCCGUUGAUGACCAAGUCAUCAAACUCCUCCUAGAGAGAGAGAGGGAGAGAGGGAGAGGGAGAGGGAGAGGGAGAGGGAGAGGGAGAGAGAGAGAGAAUAUGUCUUUGUUGUAAAUGUCUGUAACAUGUCUGUAGAUUUUAUUUUACUUCUAUUUUUUGUUUUGUUCUAUGUUAAUUUUAUUAUUUUUAUUUGCUUUGGCAACACUGAUUGUACCCAUCGGUCAUGCUAAUAAAGCACCUUGAAUUGAAUUGA